RNAcentral lists this long non-coding RNA (636 nucleotides) under Felis catus (domestic cat). RNAcentral's name for it is "lncRNA (ENSFCAG00000040452.2)". Lineage: Eukaryota; Metazoa; Chordata; Mammalia; Carnivora; Felidae. The record is from RNAcentral.
AUGGAGGACAGGGUGGAGCCGGGAGGGAGGGGCACUCGGCGCGGGAGUAAGGGGGGGAGGGGCGGAAAGGUGGAAGAGCUGGAGCGCAGGGUGAAGAAAGAACCGGGAAGGCGCGCACGGGAGAGCACGGCCUGGGGCGUGGCUUGGGCCGGGGGCGUGGCGCAGGACGCGGCGCGGGUACGUCUGGCCCCCCAGCUUCCGCUCAGCCCCCUUCUGGCGCUGGGGGCCGCCGGAGCCCGUUUCCUACGCGGGGCACGCGGCCGGAAGGCCGGGCCGCCUCCCCGUCUCGGGGCUCCUGCGGUGGAGUCCGCACCCCGAGGGUCGCUCGGGAGCGAGUGCACGCCCGUCUCUCGGGGCUGGCCGGGCCGGUUUGCAGGCAGGGACCAUCCACUUAACUGCCACACCAGGAAUCUCAAAUAUGCAGGGACAAGAGAAAUACUUGUUUCUCAUCAGGCCCUUGGACACCCUCUGGCUAUAUACUCAGCUGGGAGGUGCCGGACACCUGGACUGAGAGAGAGUGCCAAGGACUGGAUGCCAGCCUACAUGUUGCAAGGCACGGGGAUGAUGCCGAAGCCCAGCGAAAAUGAGCCCUCCCAUUCUGAACCCGAAACUUGUGAUAUGACCUGGAACUUUUAA